GGGUCAGCUUAGCAUAGUGGAUACUUCGUUCAAUUUGUCUUGCAUAUACAAAUAGGGGUCCCGGGUUCAAGCCCGGGGCUUACAUCCACUCGCGCCGUCUAACCCGUUC
This 109-nucleotide vault RNA is filed under the name Clytia hemisphaerica. It matches the Rfam family "Vault RNA". Rfam says of the family: This family of RNAs are found as part of the enigmatic vault ribonucleoprotein complex. The complex consists of a major vault protein (MVP), two minor vault proteins (VPARP and TEP1), and several small untranslated RNA molecules. It has been suggested that the vault complex is involved in drug resistance. The record is from Rfam by way of RNAcentral. Lineage: Eukaryota; Metazoa; Cnidaria; Hydrozoa; Leptothecata; Clytiidae.